UUCUUGGCCGCUUUCUCUUUGACUGAAAUAUAAAUAGAGAAACUGCAUCCUUAGAAUUUUGUUGAUAUAAAUCAGUGUUGUCGAAUAUGGGCCAUGGCGGUGGUGGCGGAUUUCGGCCUCUCCGAUAUGGUAAAUAUCGCCCGAUGUUGCGAGCUUUUCUGCCAUAAGCCACUAUGAAGGCACCAUAAAGCGGCCUAAAAGGCAGGAUUUUGGCUCUCUGCCAUGGACCACCAUCCACCAUCGACAACACUGAUAUAAACAAACUCGCACCAAUCAUUCAUGUAAAGCUGAACAUAAAACAGAUUAAAUCAUCUGGUAUAUCCAUCAUGUUGUAUUAAAUUGUAAAAAUGAACACUUGCAAAUUAUAGUAAGAGCCCUUUAAAAGAAAGUUUGAUUAACAUAAAGUUAUAUCCACACACUAAUGAUCAAUGCCAAGUGUGAGAUACCAUAAAGGCCUGAUUAGAAAGUUGUUGAAUAAUGUCCGUUGAUUAGUUCAGAGUUGAAAGGGAAUGCUGAGGUUGUAAAGUUGUUGAACGUUAUAAUUGCUAAUGUUUAGUUGAUCAGACGCAUUUGAUUAGCUGUUUAAGCUUGCAUUUGAUCAAGUUGUUUCACUAAAGUUGACAUGGAUGAACUGAUCAUCUUUGAUUGCUGCCAACAUAGCUGAUGCAAUGCAUUCUGAAUGUAAGCACAAAACCUUC
This 698-nucleotide long non-coding RNA is filed under the name Medicago truncatula (barrel medic). Its description in RNAcentral is "lncRNA gene29413". Lineage: Eukaryota; Viridiplantae; Streptophyta; Magnoliopsida; Fabales; Fabaceae. The record is from RNAcentral.